Molecule: non-coding RNA, 121 nt
Organism: Picea glauca (white spruce)
Lineage: Eukaryota; Viridiplantae; Streptophyta; Pinopsida; Pinales; Pinaceae
Source: Rfam
ACAUGCCUACAACAUAGUGUUAAUGCAGGGAUCCCAUUAGAACUCUGCAGUUAAGCGUGCUCAGGCUAGAGUAGUAUUGGGAUGGGUGACCGCGUCGAGAAAUCCUAGUGUUUUACAUGCC